ACUGCAGUAAAGCAGUAAAAUAAUUGAGCUCUAGCACUUUUAGAGUAAAAAAUGCUGUUAUUAACUGCAGUAAGUGUCUGCUGGAGCUUUAAAAUGCUGAGUAGAAGCUUAACAUUCUCACUAAGUGCUAACUAACUUAAUUGCGUUGACCAAACGUUCAGUUUGAGUGUUAAUGAGGUGAGAGUAUGGAGCCAGAGUGGAGAGCUUGGAGUGAGAGUUCACCAUUAACUAACUGUUACAGGUGGCAAGAUGGCGUCAAGAAAUCAGUUCCGGGUCACAGAGGAGAGGAGGAGGAUCGGUAGGAAAACUGAGGUACUUUUGGGGAUUCUGGAUGCAGCCAGAGAGAGAGCGAGAGAGGACCCAGGAUGACUGAAGCGUUGCAUUUGUUUGGAGGUUCUACACAUGAGAUCCCCUCCUAGGCUAACCGUGGAUCCUGCUGGCUUCUAGAAGAGGACCCACCCAGCAGCACCCUCAUUCCUAGAC
This is a long non-coding RNA of Astyanax mexicanus (Mexican tetra), 483 nucleotides long. RefSeq lists it as uncharacterized. NCBI's taxonomy places the organism in Eukaryota, Metazoa, Chordata, Actinopteri, Characiformes, Acestrorhamphidae. The record is from RefSeq and is a predicted model, not a curated record. The transcript has 3 exons.